RNAcentral lists this ribosomal RNA (558 nucleotides) under Pseudomonas putida. RNAcentral's name for it is "bacterial SSU rRNA". It matches the Rfam family "Bacterial small subunit ribosomal RNA", at positions 58 to 609 of the family's 1533-position model. Lineage: Bacteria; Pseudomonadati; Pseudomonadota; Gammaproteobacteria; Pseudomonadales; Pseudomonadaceae. The record is from RNAcentral.
CAAGUCGAGCGGAUGACGGGAGCUUGCUCCUUGAUUCAGCGGCGGACGGGUGAGUAAUGCCUAGGAAUCUGCCUGGUAGUGGGGGACAACGUUUCGAAAGGAACGCUAAUACCGCAUACGUCCUACGGGAGAAAGCAGGGGACCUUCGGGCCUUGCGCUAUCAGAUGAGCCUAGGUCGGAUUAGCUAGUUGGUGAGGUAAUGGCUCACCAAGGCGACGAUCCGUAACUGGUCUGAGAGGAUGAUCAGUCACACUGGAACUGAGACACGGUCCAGACUCCUACGGGAGGCAGCAGUGGGGAAUAUUGGACAAUGGGCGAAAGCCUGAUCCAGCCAUGCCGCGUGUGUGAAGAAGGUCUUCGGAUUGUAAAGCACUUUAAGUUGGGAGGAAGGGCAGUAAGCUAAUACCUUGCUGUUUUGACGUUACCGACAGAAUAAGCACCGGCUAACUCUGUGCCAGCAGCCGCGGUAAUACAGAGGGUGCAAGCGUUAAUCGGAAUUUACUGGGCGUAUAAGCGCGCGUAGGUGGUUCGUUAAGUUGGAUGUGAAAGCCCCGAUGC